This 252-nucleotide ribosomal RNA is filed under the name uncultured bacterium. RNAcentral describes it as "partial 16S ribosomal RNA". It matches the Rfam family "Bacterial small subunit ribosomal RNA", at positions 525 to 776 of the family's 1533-position model. The record is from RNAcentral.
ACGGAGGGUGCAAGCAUUAAUCGGAUUUAUUGGGCGUAAAGGGCGCGUAGGCGGUAAGAUAAGUCAGAUGUGAAAUCCCGGGGCUCAACCUCGGAACAGCAUUUGAAACUAUCUUUCUAGAGGGUAGGCGGAGAAAACGGAAUUCCACAAGUAGCGGUGAAAUGCGUAGAUAUGUGGAAGAACACCGGUGGCGAAGGCGGUUUUCUAGCUUAUUCCUGACGCUGAGGCGCGAAAGCAAGGGGAUCAAACAGG